UACGUAGGGUGCAAGCGUUGUCCGGAAUCAUUGGGCGUAAAGAGCGUGUAGGCGGCUCGAUUAGUCCGCUGUAAAAGUCCAGGGCUCAACCCUGGGAUGCCGGUGGAAACUGUCGAGCUAGAGUCCGGGAGAGGCGAGUGGAAUUCCUGGUGUAGCGGUGAAAUGCGCAGAUAUCAGGAGGAACACCGGUGGCGAAGGCGGGUCUCUGGGCCGAUACUGACACUGAGGAGCGAAAGCGUGGGGAGCGAACAGG
Molecule: ribosomal RNA, 253 nt
Filed under: uncultured prokaryote
Description: partial 16S ribosomal RNA
Rfam family: Bacterial small subunit ribosomal RNA
Source: RNAcentral